GCACUUUAAGCAGUGAAGAAGACUCUUCGGUUAAUACCCGGGGACGAUGACAUUAGCUGCAGAAUAAGCACCGGCUAACUCUGUGCCAGCAGCCACGGUAAUACAGAGGGUGCAAGCGUUAAUCGGAAUUACUGGGCGUAAAGCGAGCGUAGGUGGCUUGAUAAGUCAGAUGUGAAAUCCCCGGGCUUAACCUGGGAACUGCAUCUGAAACUGUUAGGCUAGAGUAGGUGAGAGGGAAGUAGAAUUUCAGGUGUAGCGGUGAAAUGCGUAGAGAUCUGAAGGAAUACCGAUGGCGAAGGCAGCUUCCUGGCAUCAUACUGACACUGAGGCUCGAAAGCGUGGGUAGCAAACAGGAUUAGAUACCCUGGUAGUCCACGCCGUAAACGAUGUCUACUAGUCGUUGG
Molecule: ribosomal RNA, 404 nt
Filed under: uncultured bacterium
Lineage: Bacteria
Description: bacterial SSU rRNA
Rfam family: Bacterial small subunit ribosomal RNA
Source: RNAcentral